Molecule: long non-coding RNA, 7886 nt
Organism: Cyprinus carpio (common carp)
Lineage: Eukaryota; Metazoa; Chordata; Actinopteri; Cypriniformes; Cyprinidae
Source: Ensembl
AAAAACAUCCCUAAAACUGGAUACAUUUACUGCCAUAACAUAAUAAAAUCUCUAAUAUUAAGUUUAUAUUUCUUACGUUACAGCGAACUGGCACCUUUUCUAACUGUGCCUCUUUCAUGUCUGCCUGCAGGUGAUGUGGCCCCCUACUUCAAAACGGAGCCGGGACCUCCAGAGAUCCACCUAGAAGGGAACCGUCUGGUCAUGACCUGCCUGGCGGAGGGCAGCUGGCCUCUGGAGUUCAAAUGGAUACUCAACAACACAGAUAUCACAGCCUUCUCCCCCGAGUACAAGUACACCAUCUCCUCUCUCCAACGCUCCAAUAUGGGCGUUUAUCAGUGUGUGGUGAGAAACAGGAUGGGCGCUCUGCUUCAGAGAAGAGCCGAGAUACAAGUGGCAUAUAUGGGAGACUUUCUCGACAAUGACCAAAGAAAGACAGUGACACAGGGCCGGGCCGCCAUCCUAAACUCCCCAGCAGUCAGUUGCUUCCCGCGGCCACAGGUGACAUGGUUCAGGGACGGUUACAAGAUCAUUCCAAGCAACAGAGUAGCCAUAACGUUGGAGAACCAGCUAGUGGUGCUCGCCACGGCCGCGGUGGACGCCGGGAGGUACUACGUACAGGCUGUUAAUGAGAAGAAUGGAGAAAACAAGACAAGCCCAUCCAUUUACCUGAAUGUGGCAGAUUCAGAGGCCCCCGCGGACCCUGUGGCUCCAGUGAUUGUAAUCCCACCCCGAAACACUACAGUGGUGGCCGGGGUCAGUGAGGCCACACUGGAGUGUGUUGCUAAUGCACGUCCGGUUGAGAAGCUCAGUUUGGUGUGGCGGAGAAACUCUGUGGAAGUGGCCAGUGGCGUGGGCUCCUUCGGCCGGCGCUUGACCAUCAUCAACCCAACGAGUGCCGAUGUGGGCAUGUACGUGUGCGAAGCCUCACUUUUGGACAGCAGCGUGAAACCGGCAGAGGCCAGAGCCUUCCUCUCCAUCACAGAGGCACCCUAUUUCACCGCUGAGCCCAGGAGAAAGAUGAUGGGAGAGGUGGAGAAAAGCGUGGAUAUCCAGUGCCAAGCUCGAGGGGUGCCCAUGCCGAAGCUGGAGUGGUAUAAGGAUGCCGUGCCCCUCAGUAAACUCAACAACCCUCGCUACAAGGUCAUUUCCAGCAUGGGGCUUCAGGUCAGGAAGCUACAGCCCAGCGAUGCCGGAAUCUUCCAGUGCUUCGCCAGGAACUCGGCCGGAGAGGCUCAGGUCCACACUUACCUGGACAUCACUAGUAUGGCUCCGGGCUUCACCGCGGCACCGGUCGACAUCACUGUCACAGAUGGAGCGGUGGCCAUGUUCACCUGUCAGGUAUCUGGGGCCCCUAAACCUGCCAUCACAUGGAAGAGAGAUACUCAGAUCCUUGCCAGCGGUUCGGUGCAAAUUCCACGUUUCACCCUGCUGGAGUCCGGCGGUCUGCAGAUUCAACCGGUGGUGCUGCAGUACACGGGGAUGUACACCUGCUACGCCGCUAACUCAGAAAGAGUAAUCAACGCCAGCGCCUCCCUCACCGUAUGGAGUCGCACGUCCAUAUCCAGGCCUCCCAUGGACAGACGUGUCAUUAAGGGGACCACAGCCAUUUUGGAGUGCGCCGCCACCCACGACCCGCGUGUGGCAGUGAGGUACGUGUGGAAAAAGGAUGAGGAGUUAGUGAGCCAGACCAGAGGGGGGCGUAUCACCCUGCAGGAGGGCUCCUUGCACAUCAGUCAAACCUGGUCCGGGGACAUCGGGGACUAUACCUGUGACGUCAUCUCUCAAGCCGGCAACGACUCCAAGGCGGCCCGUCUGGAGGUCAUAGAGCUGCCACAUUCGCCCCGAAACCUACAGGCCAGCCUGAACGCCAACGACAGCCGCAGCGUGGAUCUGUCCUGGAUGAGACCCUUCGAUGGAAACAGCCCCCUACUGCAUUAUGUGGUGGAGCUUUCAGAGAACAAUUCUCCCUGGAGAGUGUAUUUGCCUGAUGUGGACCCCACCGUGACUGGAGCCAUGGUGAAGGGCCUGACUCCGGCCCGCUCGUACCAGUUCAGAGUUUGCGCAGUCAAUCAGGUUGGCAAGGGACAGUACAGCACCGAAACCAACAGAUUGACGCUGCGAGAGGAACCGCCCAGCGCUCCGCCCAAGAACAUCGUAGCCAGCGGCAGAACCAACCAAUCCAUUAUGGUGCAGUGGCAGCCACCUCCGGAGCCUCAGCUCAAUGGAGUCUUGAGAGGCUACGUCCUCAGGUACCGGCUCGCCGGGCUCCCUGGAGAGUACCAGCAGAAGAACAUCACCAGCCCUGAGAUCAACUACUGCCUGAUCACAGAGCUCAUCAUCUGGACCCAGUAUGAGAUUCAGGUGGCCGCGUAUACCGGGGCAGGCCUGGGCGUCUUCAGUCAGCCUGUCACUGAGUACACGCUACAGGGAGUUCCCACAGCUCCCCCUCAGGGUGUGGAGGUCAAGGCAGUAAACUCAACCACAAUUGAAUUUACCUGGAAUCCACCGCCUCAGCAGUUCAUCAAUGGCAUUAAUCAAGGUUACAAGCUGAUGGCGUGGCCUGAACGAUCUCCAGAGGAUGUUAUCAUCGUGACCAUCACCCCUGAUUAUCACGGGACACGCCACCUCGGUUACAUCAGCGGUCUAAAAAAGUUCACCUGGUACUUGACGUCAGUGCUGUGUUUUACCACACCAGGGAAUGGACCCCGCAGUGUCCCCAAACUGGUGCAGACUCACGAGGACAUUCCAGGCCCUGUUGGUCGCUUGAGCUUUACAGAGAUUUUGGACACGUCUCUGAGAGUGAGCUGGGAGGAACCCGUGGACAAGAACGGCAUUGUUACUGGUUACCUGGUGUCCUGGGAAGUUCAGGGGAAGAACCAAUCGCGAGUGGCGCGUACUUUGACCAACUCCACGUUGGACUACAAGGUCACCGGUCUGACGUCCCUCACUACGUACACGCUAGAGGUGGCAGCUAUGACGGAGGCGGGCGUAGGAACUGUAACUUCCUCCACCAUUUCAUCCGGAGUGCCACCAGAACUUCCCGGGCCUCCAUCAAAUUUGGUUAUUUCCAAGAUCAGUUCACGAUCUGCUACGCUGAAGUUCCGUGCAGGGGAUGAUGGGAAGACGACCAUCUCCAAGUGGAUCGUUGAGGGGCAGGUUGGCAGUAUCGGUGAAGAGGAAGAGUGGAAGGUGUUGUACGUGAAAGAGAAUGACCCUGAAGCUCAGGUGCUGGAGGUGCCCAAUCUCACACCGUUCACACACUACAGGUUCCGAAUGCGUCAGGUGAAUAUUGUGGGCCCGAGUCCGGUGAGCGUGCCGUCCCGUGUAAUUCAAACCCUGCAGGCUCCUCCAGACAAGGCGCCCAGCAGUGUGACGGUGCGCACGGCCAGUGAGACCAGCCUCUGGCUACGCUGGGUGCCACUGCCGGAGACUGAGUACAAUGGAAACCCGGAGAGCGUGGGCUACAGGGUCAGAGUGUUGCGAGCGGACCUGCGGGGUGAGGCCAGCACACGAUUGGUGAACGACAGACUGGAGAGGGAGAUCACCCUGGAGGGUCUGGAGGAGUGGACCGAAUACCAGCUGCAGAUCCAGGCCUUUAAUUCCAUAGGCCCCGGGCCCUGGAGUGAGCCUUUGAAGGGACGUACGCGUGAGUCAGUGCCAUCGGGGGCUCCGGAAAAUGUGACGGUGGAGGCCAUGAGCUCCAGUCGCAUCCUGGUAACCUGGGGCUCGGUUCCUGAGCAUGAGCAGAAUGGCAACAUCCUCGGAUAUAAGGUUAUGUACAAAGAGAAAGACUCAGAUUCGGAGGCACAGGUGAAUGUGGUUAAAGGCAACCUGACACAGUCUGUCUUACUGAGGAACCUGCGUAAAUACGUCCAGUAUGAAAUCCAAGUUUUGGCUUUCACACGAAUUGGAGAUGGGCAGCUCAGCAGCCCCCCAGUCUUGGAGAGGACCAAGGAUGAUGUUCCCGGACCACCUAUGAGACUUGUGUUCCCGGAGGUGCGUCUCACAGAAGUGAGGGUGGUCUGGCAACCCCCUGUGGACCCCAAUGGCAUAAUUAUGGGAUACCAGGUAGCUUACCGUCUGGAUUCUGGGGAUCCCAACCAGUUCAUCACAGUAGAGGUGGGCCCUGAUACCCGUCAGUUCACCGCCUCCAACUUGACCCCGGAGUCGGCCUACAUCUUUCGCAUCUCUGCCAAGACGGAGCAGGGCUGGGGAGCACCUGCACAGGCUGUGGUCAUAACUACUGAGAUCAGAGAGCGACCGCAGCCUCCACGGCAGCUGCGGGUGCCUCAGGACCACGUGCAGUCCCGCAAAUUGCAGCUCAACUGGGUGCCCGGAGGGGACGGCUCCUCUCCUGUCCGUUACUUCACCCUGCAGACACGGGAGCUGCCCAGAGGAGACUGGCUCACCCAUUCUUCUGCUAUAAGCCACAAUUAUACCUCCUGGGAAGUGGACAGGCUGAAACCCUUCACUUCAUACAAGCUCAGAAUGAUGGCGACUAAUGACGUCGGCGACAGCAAGUACAGCCAAGAGACGGAUGCAAUUACCACUUUACAAGAUGUUCCUGAUGAAUCGCCCACAAUUCAAGCCGUCAAACCCUCCACGACAACAUCCGUGCUUGUGCAGUGGCAGACGCCCAAGGAGGAGAGUGUGAAUGGGGUUCUGGUGGGCUAUCGGCUCUACUACCGCGAGCUGCAGUAUGACAGCGCACCGCAGGAGUCAAAGCGGGCCGUCAACAGCUCCUUGCUGCGCACCGAACUGACAGAUGCGCCUUUCAAGCACGCUUAUGGAUCUUCUGUUUGUAAUUUUGAAUUCUCAUCAGAGCUGCAGAAAUACAGACGCUAUGAAAUUGUGAUGACUGCCUACAACGUCAUUGGCGAAAGCCCUCCAAGUGCUCCAGUAGAGGUGUUUGUUGGAGAAGCAGCUCCCUCUGUGGCUCCUCAGAACAUCCAGAUCAACACUUUGUCAUCCACACAGCUGGAGGUGCAGUGGGAGCCGCCCCCUGCCGAGACCCAAAAUGGCAUUAUUCAGGGAUAUAAGAUUCUUUACUGGGAGAUGGACAAUCAGAAUGAAACAGAGAGAGUUAAGAUUCUCUUCCGGCCUGAAACCAACAUGAGACUGAAGAACCUGACCAGCUACACAUACUAUAUGGUCAAGCUGUCCGCCUUCAAUGCUGCUGGAGACGGUCCCUUCAGUGAGCCCAGGAGGGGGCGCACUCUUCAGGCAGCCCCCAGCGCUCCCAGCUUCAUCAGUUUCUCCGAGGUGACCAGCAGCACUCUGAACGUGUCCUGGGGUUUCCCGCUGUCCCCCAACGGUGUGGUGGAAGGCUACAGGGUGGUAUAUGAGCCCAGCGCCCCUAUUCAAGGUGUGACUAAAGUGGUAACGGUGGAUAUCCGUGGCAGCUGGCAGCGCUGGCUGAAGGUGCGUGACCUGACCAAGGGUGUAACCUAUUGCUUCCGCGUGCAGGCCAAGACUAUUGCCUACGGGCCUGAGGCAGAGGCCAACAUUACAGCGGGUCCUGUCAAAGGGUCUCCUGGAUCUCCUGUAGAAAUGUCAAUCUCAAAGACAGGAUCCAUGCUCAACAUCCACUGGACACCAGGAGAUACAGGAGCAGGACAUGUGACCGGCUAUGUGAUCGAGGCACGCCCAUCAGAUGAAGGGAUGUGGGAUACGUUUGUGCGGCACUUGCCUCCCACCAGCACCUCUCACUCAGUGAGUCUAGACCGCCUGCGGCAGGGUAUCAGCUACCAGUUCAGAGUGCUGGCCGUCAACGAGUUCGGCUACGGCGAGCCGAGUGCACCCUCUGCUGCCAUGUCAGGCCAACAUGACACCCCGUUUUAUGAGGAGUGGUGGUUUCUCAUCGUGCUGGCGUUGUGUGGCCUGAUUCUGCUGUUGCUGGUGGUUUUCGGUCUCGUCUUGCACGGACAGAACAGGAAGUACAAGAGCUGUGGAACAGGUAAAGCUGUGUCCACGGUGGAGGAGACAGUCACGCUGGACAAUGGAGGCUUCACGGCUCUAGAGCUCAACAGCAGGCCCGUUCAUGUCAAGAGUGUGUUCUUGAGGAAGAACGGCACCAGCAGGUCCCCUCCCCGUCCCAAUCCAGCCGGACUGCGCUAUUCCGACGAAGACAUCUGUAGCAACUACAACGGCGUGGUUUCCACAGAGAGCACUGCACUGACUGAGAGGCCUGCAGAGAUAUCAGAGUCUGAGGCCACAGACAGCGAGUGCGAAGAGGAGCCGAUCAAACACUCGUUCGUGAAUCACUACAUGAGCGACCCAUCAUACUUCAACUCGUGGAAGCGGCAGCAGAAGGGGCUGAAGCAGACGCUGGCCUGUUCCUAUGAUGAAUGUGCCAGCGGGGACACCGAAUCCUACUAUCAGACAGUGGUCACACAGCACAGCGUUGGCGGGGUCUACACCCCCGCCGGCCAGCCCGCACCAGGCUCACGGACUCCCGUCACAGGCUUCUCCUCGUUCGUGUGACACACAAGAGGACCCAGCUCGGACAACGUAGUUGCAGAAGAAAUUCUCUGGUUUCGCACAGUACUAUCACCACGAGCACUACAAGAGACAUCACAUGUGACCGCUCAUCGAGUUGCUGGAUCCUGAAUGUACUCGAUCAAGAUCAUUAUUAAGAGAAGGGGAGAAAAAAAAGAUUUUUAUAUGCCAAUACCGAAGACUAAUCAGAGUUAUUGUUAAUGUACGUGUCCCUCCUGUUUGCAGCCUCGGUUGUGAAAGAUGCAUAAAUGUCUGUGGUUUUAAUGAGCAGGACGCAACAGAAGAUUCCUGUACAUGUGACGAGACAUUCCCGCUCUAAAGAGCGCCAUAUAUUCACACUUAACAUUCCUGCCCUUACCACACUGAAAAGAACUUAAGGAAAAAGCUAAGUGAAAAACACGCUGUAAUUACUGUAUAGUCUUGUCUGAAUAAUCUCAUCUCACUGUCGGUGUCGCUAUAUAUACAUGUUGCACUCGAGAUCGUAAAGGUCAUGAAAUGUAAAUCUUCUCUAAUGGAUUUGAUUUGUGUUCACGUGGCCUGGAUAAUGAAGCACGGUUGUUUUCAGUAUAUUCUCUAUAGACUCACCAGCAAGAAAACCUGCGGAGGCUGUUAGAAGAAGCCAGACAGCUCUGGUUCCCUGCCUCUGUGUAAUCAGACGGUGAGACCGUGCCAGAUGUGUUGUGAUUUGUGCCACUGCUCAUUCUCACACAUAUCAACAAGUUCAUAGGUUUUUUUUUUUUUGGCUUUUACUCUUCUUGUUUUGUUCCUGUCUGUUUGGCCUCGCUUAGGAACUGCAAACACUCACUUGAAAUUAUUUAAUGAACGAUUGUAUGAAUUGUAUGUAAGGAGAUCAGUAUGUGGUUGCUUUGCACAUAUGUUCUGCACUUUUGAGCCAUAAAUAUUUCUGUUUCCUUCUUUUGAUUGAAUAUUUGCUUUUUUACAGGCUUGUAAAAAGUGUAAUUUGACAGUGCGAUUUUAGAAUUAAUUUGUAUGAAUUUUGUUGUUCAUUGUAGUGUUCUUCAGAAGUGACGUACAGUAGUUCCGUUGUUCUUUCACAAGAAGUAUGAAUUUUUGCAGUUCUUGAAAAUGCCAACACAAGAAGUACAGUAAUCAAACAAGAGUGUGCUGUUAUGGAAAUGUUUGUUUCAAUCCCAACAACUGUUUUAGCACAAGUGUAUGUCAUGGACGUUCAUGAAGUAAAGAUUUUUUUAUGAUAAAUUAAAUGUUUGUUGUUCACUUAAAUGCCUCCAACUACAAUGUCAUCUUGAUAAUACGUCAACAUGCACACUAAAUCAUGACAGAAAACAAAAAUUUUGGGAAAGCAUUUAAUCAAAUCAUCACUUUUAUCACAGAAUAAACUGGCUGUAUUUGUAUUUCUGCCUGCUGGC